UGGAUGCGCGCUGAGUGCCACGUCUUCAUCGCUGUAUCGUCAUUUACUGUGUCCUCAAACUGGUCAAGAGGCGCAACAUCGGCAACUCAAGAACUGGUACUGCUGAUGUCAGUUCUGAAACUGAGAUAUCGACUUCGAGCUAUCGUCGUGCCGAUGGGUUGAUAUAUGGAGAGCUAGACUUCGCUGACAGAACAUCACCUGAUGUUAUCAUCGGCUCCUUGCCCAAUACACAAUAUGCUCAAAAUCGAAUUUGC
Molecule: long non-coding RNA, 254 nt
Organism: Pomacea canaliculata
Lineage: Eukaryota; Metazoa; Mollusca; Gastropoda; Architaenioglossa; Ampullariidae
Exons: 3
Source: RefSeq, a predicted model, not a curated record